AGUUCCUUUAAUUAAGUCCAGAGAGGCUUAGAAGGCAAUCGGACCUACCGCGGUAGGUAAUUUUUCGCAAAGUGUCAAUCCGCGCCCUCUAACCAAUCUGGCUAGAGGGCUUUUUUU
Molecule: regulatory RNA element, 117 nt
Rfam family: PyrR binding site
About the family: This family represents the PyrR binding site and terminator structure. This RNA structure is found upstream of a variety of genes involved in pyrimidine biosynthesis and transport.
Source: Rfam